CAAUAGACUACCCGGUAGUCCUGGCCCUAAACGAUGGGGACUAGGUAGUCGGCCGGCAUGGGCUGACUGCCGGAGCCAAAGUGCUAAGUCCCCCGCCUGGGGAGUAUGGCCGCAAGGCUGAAACUCAAAGGAAUUGACGGGGGCUCACACAAGCGGUGGAGCAUGUGGCUUAAUUCGAGGCUACGCGAAGAACCUUAUCCUGGGCUUGACAUGUGCGAAAGCGGGGGGAAGUAGGGUCCGGAAACGGCACCCGAACGGUAUCCAGUCCGGAACCUUCCACAGGUGCUGCAUGGCUGUCGUCAGCUCGUGUCGCGAGAUGUCGGGUUAAGUCCCAUAACGAGCGAAACCCUUACCCCCAGUUGCCAGCAAACGGGACUCUGGGGGGACUGCCGGUGUCAAACCGGAGGAAGGUGGGGAUGACGUCAAGUCCUCAUGGCCUUUAUGCCCAGGGCUGCACACGUGCUACAAUGGCGUGGACAGAGGGACGCGAGCCCGCGAGGGGGAGCCAAUCCCGGAAAGCACGCCCCAGUUCAGAUCGCAGGCUGCAACUCG
This 552-nucleotide ribosomal RNA is filed under the name uncultured bacterium. Its description in RNAcentral is "bacterial SSU rRNA". It matches the Rfam family "Bacterial small subunit ribosomal RNA", at positions 776 to 1314 of the family's 1533-position model. The record is from RNAcentral.